AUGUUAAUUUCAGACACUGCGGACGUCCAAAAGCAGAACUCCUGUGAGGAACCGGGACAUCCAGGAUGGUGAGGAGCUUCCCAGUCCCCACCUGAGGACGGCACAGAGAAAGACUGGAACAGAAAACACACGGAGGAAAGCAGGUUGAACAUGGAAGCAGUGUUCUAGCAGUCGGAUCACAUCGGAACAGAGUCCAUCCACACGUGUUUGGAGGAGCUGAAGAAGAGGAUGAAGCACACAGACCGCUAAGGAGGAGAGACAUGGCUCCUAUAUUUCUCUUUAACAUUCUGGAGUCCUGGAGUAAAACAACGUUGACGACCCUGCAGCUAAACCAUCAGUCUGCUACACCCAGUAGAAGAAGAUGAGGUCAUCUGUUCCUUGGACCGGCGCCUCUGUGUCUGUUGGACGUCAGUAGAUGGGCGCUGACAUGGAGGUUCCUUCCUGUUUGAAGCUAGUUUUCCUCUCUACUGUGACCACUUCAUUGCUCAGGAGGGACUGCUGCAAAAUUAACGACUGGAUGUGAUUGGCUGAGCUUCCUUGGAUUGAAGACAUUUCUCUAAACACCAUAAUAAGCUGAAUUUAUCUUCCCCAUGUUGUAAAUAGGAUUGGACUGGACUGGAUGUUUGUUUUUCAAUUUGAUUCUGUUUGUGUUGAAUUCUGUUACAUGUUUCUGUAUUAAAGCUGUCAUGUUAAUUGCCUUUAGAUGACAUUUGUUGGGACUUGUU
Molecule: long non-coding RNA, 725 nt
Organism: Cyprinodon tularosa
Lineage: Eukaryota; Metazoa; Chordata; Actinopteri; Cyprinodontiformes; Cyprinodontidae
Exons: 4
Source: RefSeq, a predicted model, not a curated record